Anthonomus grandis grandis is the source of this 676-nucleotide long non-coding RNA. RefSeq lists it as uncharacterized. The transcript has 3 exons. NCBI's taxonomy places the organism in Eukaryota, Metazoa, Arthropoda, Insecta, Coleoptera, Curculionidae. The record is from RefSeq and is a predicted model, not a curated record.
AUUUUGAAAAAUAUUUACAUUGAGUAUUUUAAACUAAUGUUAAACAUUUUCUUCAGAUUUAGAUGAAGCUUUUCCGCAUUCAUCCGAUGUGACCUCUGUUAUAACUUUUUCUCCAACGCUAGAAGACACAUCUUCGCAUUCAAUGAAAGAAUUAUGUCAAGAUAAAACUUUACCACAGUCAUCCUAUGUAGCUUCUGUAGGUACUUUGUUUCCUGCACUAGAAAGCACAUCUUCGCAUUUAACCAAAGAAUUAUGCCAAGAUUUAGUUAAAACCUUCCCACAUUCAUCUGAUGUGGCUUCUGUUAGUAGAUCUUGCCUCGUUACUGCGCAAUCCCACCAAACUCAAUUCAAGAGAAAAAAAAGUUUUAUUUGUAUAAUCCACAGAACAUAAUAAAAAUUGCACAAAAGUCAGUGGCGUAUAUUUUAGUUGUUGUUAAAUUUUAACACCCUGUAUAUUGAGAACGAAGAAUUUCUGGACAUAUGUUUAUAUGAACUUUUUGUUUUAAAAUUACUCAAAAAAUGGUCUCUUAAAUUUAUGGUACAUACCUAAUUAACUUCCUGCACGUAUUCUUCUAUAUCGUCGUUGUUAGAUGUAGAAAUGCGAUGUUUAUUUUGUUUAAAUAUUUUGUUAAUGUAUGAACUUUAUUAAUAUUAAAAAAUAAAUAUUUGUACUAUG